Molecule: ribosomal RNA, 672 nt
Filed under: uncultured archaeon
Lineage: Archaea
Description: bacterial SSU rRNA
Rfam family: Archaeal small subunit ribosomal RNA
Source: RNAcentral
UUCCGGUUGAUCCUGCCGGAGGACAUUGCUAUUGGGAUUCGAUUUAGCCAUGCUAGUCGGACGAGUUUAGACUCGUGGCAGAUAGCUCAGUAACACGUGGCCAAGCUACCCUCCAGUCGGCAAUACCCUCGGGAAACUGAGGUUAACGGCCGAUGUGGGACGCCUGCUGGAAUGCGGCGUUCUCUAAAGGCGACGCUGAAGGAUGCGGCUGCGGCCGAUUAGGUUGACGGUGGGGUAACGGCCCACCGUGCCAGUAAUCGGUACGGGUGAUGAGAGUCAGAGCCCGGAGGCGGAAUCUGAGACAAGAUUCCGGGCCCUACGGGGCGCAGCAGGCGCGAAACCUUUACACUGCACGGAAGUGCGAUAGGGGAAUCCCAAGUGCGAGGGCAUAUUCGCCCUCGCUUUUGUUGACCGUAAGGUGGUCAACGAAUAAGAGCUGGGCAAGACCGGUGCCAGCCGCCGCGGUAAUACCGGCAGCUCAAGUGAUGUCCAAUAUUAUUGGGCCUAAAGCGUCCGUAGCUGGUCGCGCAAGUCCGUCGGGAAAUCCACCUGCCCAACAGGUGGGCGUCCGGCGGAAACUGUGUGGCUUGGAACCGGAAGGCUCAGAGGGUACGUCCGGGGUAGGAGUGAAAUCCCGUAAUCCCGGACGGACCACCGAUGGCGAAAGCACUC